ACGGGUGAGUAAUGCCUAGGAAUCUGCCUGGUAGUGGGGGACAACGUUUCGAAAGGAACGCUAAUACCGCAUACGUCCUACGGGAGAAAGCAGGGGACCUUCGGGCCUUGCGCUAUCAGAUGAGCCUAGGUCGGAUUAGCUAGUUGGUGAGGUAAUGGCUCACCAAGGCGACGAUCCGUAACUGGUCUGAGAGGAUGAUCAGUCACACUGGAACUGAGACACGGUCCAGACUCCUACGGGAGGCAGCAGUGGGGAAUAUUGGACAAUGGGCGAAAGCCUGAUCCAGCCAUGCCGCGUGUGUGAAGAAGGUCUUCGGAUUGUAAAGCACUUUAAGUUGGGAGGAAGGGUUGUAGAUUAAUACUCUGCAAUUUUGACGUUACCGACAGAAUAAGCACCGGCUAACUCUGUGCCAGCAGCCGCGGUAAUACAGAGGGUGCAAGCGUUAAUCGGAAUUACUGGGCGUAAAGCGCGCGUAGGUGGUUCGUUAAGUUGGAUGUGAAAUCCCCGGGCUCAACCUGGGAACUGCAUUCAAAACUGUCGAGCUAGAGUAUGGUAGAGGGUGGUGGAAUUUCCUGUGUAGC
This 581-nucleotide ribosomal RNA is filed under the name Pseudomonas sp. StFRB382. RNAcentral describes it as "bacterial SSU rRNA". It matches the Rfam family "Bacterial small subunit ribosomal RNA", at positions 102 to 679 of the family's 1533-position model. Lineage: Bacteria; Pseudomonadati; Pseudomonadota; Gammaproteobacteria; Pseudomonadales; Pseudomonadaceae. The record is from RNAcentral.